UACGAAGGGGGCUAGCGUUGUUCGGAUUUACUGGGCGUAAAGCGCACGUAGGCGGAUUGUUAAGUCAGGGGUGAAAUCCCGGAGCUCAACUCCGGAACUGCCUUUGAUACUACUGGUCUUGAAUAUUGUUGAGGUAGGCGGAAUGUGUCAUGUAGCGGUGAAAUGCAUAGAUAUGACACAGAACACCGAUUGCGAAGGCAGCUUACUGGGCAAUGAUUGACGCUGAGGCACGAAAAGCGUGGGGGAUCAAACAGGA
RNAcentral lists this ribosomal RNA (256 nucleotides) under uncultured bacterium. RNAcentral describes it as "partial 16S ribosomal RNA". It matches the Rfam family "Bacterial small subunit ribosomal RNA", at positions 524 to 777 of the family's 1533-position model. The record is from RNAcentral.